UGUUGUAACGUAUAAGGGAGGGCAUCAUUAGUCCAACAUUAAUUAUGAGUCAAGAAGGAAUUUAGUUUAUAUAAGAAGGGAUCAUUUUUUUGAUAUGAAGCGAUUUUUAAAGAGCAAAAUCAUGAGGCUCAUGGAUCAAAUAUCUCAUAUACCCAGUCAUGAGCCUUUAGCUGCAACAGACUCUUUUCUAGUUCUGCUAUUUCCAAAUGCCC
Molecule: long non-coding RNA, 212 nt
Filed under: Elaeis guineensis (African oil palm)
Lineage: Eukaryota; Viridiplantae; Streptophyta; Magnoliopsida; Arecales; Arecaceae
Description: long non-coding RNA (EGUI_LNC023723)
Source: RNAcentral